GAUGAACGCUGGCGGCGUGCCUAAUACAUGCAAGUCGAGCGAACAGACGAGGAGCUUGCUCCUCUGACGUUAACGGCGGACGGGUGAGUAACACGUGGAUAACCUACCUAUAAGACUGGGAUAACUUCGGGAAACCGGAGCUAAUACCGGAUAAUAUAUUGAACCGCAUGGUUCAAUAGUGAAAGACGGUUUUGCUGUCACUUAUAGAUGGAUCCGCGCCGCAUUAGCUAGUUGGUAAGGUAACGGCUUACCAAGGCAACGAUGCGUAGCCGACCUGAGAGGGUGAUCGGCCACACGGGAACUGAGACACGGUCCAGACUCCUACGGGAGGCAGCAGUAGGGACUCGUCCGCAAUGGGCGAAAGCCUGACGGAGCAACGCCGCGUGAGUGAUGAAGGUCUUCGGAUCGUAAAACUCUGUUAUGAGGGAAGAACAAAUGUGUAAGUAACUAUGCACGUCUUGACGGUACCUGAUCAGAAAGCCACGGCUAACUACGUG
Molecule: ribosomal RNA, 497 nt
Filed under: uncultured bacterium
Lineage: Bacteria
Description: partial 16S ribosomal RNA
Rfam family: Bacterial small subunit ribosomal RNA
Source: RNAcentral